CCCGCUGAACUUAAGCAUAUCAAUAAGCGGAGGAAAAGAAACCAACAGGGAUUGCCCCAGUAACGGCGAGUGAAGCGGCAACAGCUCAAAUUUGAAAUCUGGCCUUCGGGUCCGAAUUGUAAUUUGCAGAGGAUGCUUUUGGUGAGGUGCCUUCCGAGUUCCCUGGAACGGGACGCCAUAGAGGGUGAGAGCCCCGUCUGGUCGGACACCAAUCCUUUGUAAAGCUCCUUCGACGAGUCGAGUAGUUUGGGAAUGCUGCUCUAAAUGGGAGGUAUAUGUCUUCUAAAGCUAAAUACCGGCCAGAGACCGAUAGCGCACAAGUAGAGUGAUCGAAAGAUGAAAAGCACUUUGAAAAGAGAGUUAAACAGUACGUGAAAUUGUUGAAAGGGAAGCGCUCAUGACCAGACUUGGGCUUGGUUGAUCAACUUGGGUUCUCCCGGGUGCACUCUUCCUCGUCCAGGCCAGCAUCAGUUCGCUGCGGGGGAUAAAGGUUUCGGGAAUGUGGCUCCCUCGGGAGUGUUAUAGCCCGUUGCGUAAUACCCUGCGGUGGACUGAGGUCCGCGCAUCUGCAAGGAUGCUGGCGUAAUGGUCAUCAGCGACCCGUCUUGAAACACGG
This 616-nucleotide ribosomal RNA is filed under the name uncultured fungus. RNAcentral's name for it is "eukaryotic LSU rRNA". It matches the Rfam family "Eukaryotic large subunit ribosomal RNA", at positions 24 to 664 of the family's 3401-position model. The record is from RNAcentral. Lineage: Eukaryota; Fungi.